GUCUCCGCGAGGAGGGGUCUGAAGGAAGCCCGAGCGCAAAGCUAUGAGCCGACGAACAGAAACAGCAUACAAGGCCGUCAUCCGGGCAAGUCAGCACAACAUGACGAAGUCCCACGGAUUCAGGAGAAGCGGUAAAUGCUGCGGUUGUGUAGCGACAGUUCACGUU
Non-coding RNA from Geobacter sp. M18, 166 nucleotides. The record is from Rfam. NCBI's taxonomy places the organism in Bacteria, Pseudomonadati, Thermodesulfobacteriota, Desulfuromonadia, Geobacterales, Geobacteraceae.